Molecule: non-coding RNA, 78 nt
Filed under: Flagellimonas aurea
Lineage: Bacteria; Pseudomonadati; Bacteroidota; Flavobacteriia; Flavobacteriales; Flavobacteriaceae
Source: RNAcentral
AAACGAGGAAAGAUUUGACUGAUUGCAACCUCUUGUCCCGAAUCUUUGGUUCAGGAUCAAAAAAUGCUAAAGCAGUUU